This 886-nucleotide ribosomal RNA is filed under the name uncultured bacterium. RNAcentral's name for it is "bacterial SSU rRNA". It matches the Rfam family "Bacterial small subunit ribosomal RNA", at positions 28 to 896 of the family's 1533-position model. The record is from RNAcentral.
GACGAACGCUGGCGGCGUGCCUAAUACAUGCAAGUAGAACGCUGAAGACUUUAGCUUGCUAAAGUUGGAAGAGUUGCGAACGGGUGAGUAACGCGUAGGUAACCUGCCUACUAGCGGGGGAUAACUAUUGGAAACGAUAGCUAAUACCGCAUAACAGCAUUUAACCCAUGUUAGAUGCUUGAAAGGAGCAAUUGCUUCACUAGUAGAUGGACCUGCGUUGUAUUAGCUAGUUGGUGAGGUAACGGCUCACCAAGGCGACGAUACAUAGCCGACCUGAGAGGGUGAUCGGCCACACUGGGACUGAGACACGGCCCAGACUCCUACGGGAGGCAGCAGUAGGGAAUCUUCGGCAAUGGGGGCAACCCUGACCGAGCAACGCCGCGUGAGUGAAGAAGGUUUUCGGAUCGUAAAGCUCUGUUGUAAGAGAAGAACGUGUGUGAGAGUGGAAAGUUCACACAGUGACGGUAACUUACCAGAAAGGGACGGCUAACUACGUGCCAGCAGCCGCGGUAAUACGUAGGUCCCGAGCGUUGUCCGGAUUUAUUGGGCGUAAAGCGAGCGCAGGCGGUUUAAUAAGUCUGAAGUUAAAGGCAGUGGCUUAACCAUUGUUCGCUUUGGAAACUGUUAGACUUGAGUGCAGAAGGGGAGAGUGGAAUUCCAUGUGUAGCGGUGAAAUGCGUAGAUAUAUGGAGGAACACCGGUGGCGAAAGCGGCUCUCUGGUCUGUAACUGACGCUGAGGCUCGAAAGCGUGGGGAGCAAACAGGAUUAGAUACCCUGGUAGUCCACGCCGUAAACGAUGAGUGCUAGGUGUUAGGCCCUUUCCGGGGCUUAGUGCCGCAGCUAACGCAUUAAGCACUCCGCCUGGGGAGUACGACCGCAAGGUUG